This 1133-nucleotide long non-coding RNA is filed under the name Amborella trichopoda. Its description in RNAcentral is "long non-coding RNA (ATRI_LNC003612)". The record is from RNAcentral. Lineage: Eukaryota; Viridiplantae; Streptophyta; Magnoliopsida; Amborellales; Amborellaceae.
GAUGCUCUUUUCAUAGCUUUCGAACAAAUACAUACAUACUGAGCUUUAUGGAGAGUCCCUCUGGGAUUAAGGUGGAGUUUCUUUCUACUAUAUGCAUUCUUCAUUAUUUAUUUGCAUUAACAUGGUUGCAUUUUGUUGAGUGAAAUUCAUUCUCUUUCUCUUUGUUUUCUCUUUCUCUUCCGAUAUAAACUUCUUCAAAAAAAAAAAGAAAAGAUAAAGAGCUGAAUGUACCUAGGCAAUUUCCAUUUACACCAGGCAAUAUCUAAACAAUUCUUAUGCAUGCUUAGCUGAAGUGCUCGCAGUCAACUAUGGAGUAGCCAUGUUAAUACUUUUCUAAAUCAAAUUUGAAUUCUAACAUCCUUCUCAUUUAAGCAUGCAUUGGCUAUGCCUGGAAAAUGGUUUGUAGCUCAAUUUGCCAUAUUUAUUUACUCUUAUUCCAAUAUGGUGUUUUUUUUUUUAGCUGUUAUGGCCUCUAUUUGGAUAUAAGAUGGUGCCACAGACAUGGGAUGAGUUUUUUAUGAAGGUAGCAUAAAUUUUAAAAGUAAGGGAUAUAAGAUGUGUCAUCUUUUUUUGUGAUUGAUGAGCGUGAAUGUCUCUUAAAUUUUUAGUUGAUGAUGUUCAAUUUGCUUCUAUAGCAAUGAACAUUGUAAAAGUUUUGUUUUCGCAAUUUCUGAAGGGCAAAUGUAUUAUUUCUUGUAAAAUAGGUAUGGACCAUGAGAGGUUAUUGGAUUGGAACUGGACCAUACAAAUUCUACAAAGCUAAGUCUUUGCACUAUUGGAGGGGCUGAAAUUGUAUGAUUAUAGAUGGGAUCCCUCCAUUGCGGUGGAAGGGGAUUCAAUGAAGAGCACGUAUACUAUGCUCCCUCAGGAGUAUAGUUUACUUUUUCUACCUUGUUCAGAUGACCUAUUAAGGAAUUUUUCAAUCUAAAAUUUUGGAUGAUUAUUUAAAAAAAAACAAACUUUGAAAUUUGAGUUUUCUAACACUUAAAUCUUAUCCUCUAAAAAUUGGACGUUCUUGGGCAUUAAAUCAAUACAAUCACAAGCUGCCAAUGAACCGGUAAUUUGUAUGUUCUUGGGCAUUAAAUUAGUUGAAAUGUUCAUCGAAGUUACUAAUUGUGUCAAGUAGUCUUGUC